UUCCUGAGCCUUGUACACACCGCCCGUCAAGUCAUGGAAGCUGGUAAUGCCUGAAACGCUCCAAAAAGCGCUACGGCAGGACCGGUGACUGGGACU
Molecule: ribosomal RNA, 96 nt
Filed under: uncultured bacterium
Lineage: Bacteria
Description: partial 16S ribosomal RNA
Rfam family: Bacterial small subunit ribosomal RNA
Source: RNAcentral